Paramuricea clavata is the source of this 226-nucleotide non-coding RNA. The record is from the annotation of a GenBank genome assembly. Lineage: Eukaryota; Metazoa; Cnidaria; Anthozoa; Malacalcyonacea; Plexauridae.
AUAGACCUUAUUCAUAAAUCGUGAUGAGGCCUCGUAUCCUAGGAUACGGGAACAAAACGCGGGAAAACAAGCGAAAACUGCUUGACAAGCCAAAUUCAGAUGCUAUUGUGUCGACUUUAACGGCUUGUUUCUUGUUGCUUUUUGCGAUUUAUGACGAUUUUUGUGUGUAUUUUAAGACUUUGUUCCCACAACGAAAGCGGUAAACGAGUAUAUUAUAAAAGCGACC